This 62-nucleotide non-coding RNA is filed under the name Candidatus Nitrosacidicoccus tergens. Its description in RNAcentral is "Chromatiaceae bacterium RW Fluoride riboswitch aptamer (crcB RNA motif)". It matches the Rfam family "Fluoride riboswitch aptamer (crcB RNA motif)". Lineage: Bacteria; Pseudomonadati; Pseudomonadota; Gammaproteobacteria; Chromatiales; Chromatiaceae. The record is from Rfam by way of RNAcentral.
CAAAACUAGUGAGAUGGCAUUCUCCUAUAACCGCCAUUAUGGCUAAUAAUGCCUACAACUUC